AGAGUUUGAUCCUGGCUCAGGACGAACGCUGGCGGCGUGCCUAAUACAUGCAAGUCGAGCGGACUUCUUAAAAGCUUGCUUUUGAGAAGUUAGCGGCGGACGGGUGAGUAACACGUGGGCAACCUGCCUUACAGACUGGGAUAACUUCGGGAAACCGAAGCUAAUACCGGAUGAUCAAAUGGACCGCAUGGUCCGAUUGUAAAAGUUGGGAUUUAUCCUAACACUGUGAGAUGGACCCGCGGCGCAUUAGCUAGUUGGUGGGGUAAUGGCCUACCAAGGCAACGAUGCGUAGCCGACCUGAGAGGGUGAUCGGCCACACUGGAACUGAGACACGGUCCAGACUCCUACGGGAGGCAGCAGUAGGGAAUCAUCCGCAAUGGGCGAAAGCCUGACGGUGCAACGCCGCGUGAACGAUGACGGUCUUCGGAUUGUAAGUUCUGUUGUUAGGGAAGAACAAGUACCGUUCGAUAGGGCGGUACCUUGACGGUACCUAACCAGAAAGCCCCGGCUAACUACGUGCCAGCAGCCGCGGUAAUACGUAGGGGCAAGGCGUUGUCCGGAAUUAUUGGGCGUAAAGCGCGCGCAGGCGGUCUCUUAAGUCUGAUGUGAAAG
Molecule: ribosomal RNA, 612 nt
Filed under: uncultured bacterium
Lineage: Bacteria
Description: bacterial SSU rRNA
Rfam family: Bacterial small subunit ribosomal RNA
Source: RNAcentral